GAUCCUGGCUCAGGAUGAACGCUGGCGGCGUGCUUAACACAUGCAAGUCGAACGAAGCAACUUAUCACGAUCCUUCGGGGUGACGAUUGUGACUGAGUGGCGGACGGGUGAGUAACGCGUGGGUAACCUACCUUGUACAGGGGGACAACAGUUGGAAACGACUGCUAAUACCGCAUAAGCGCACGGUACCGCAUGGUACAGUGUGAAAAGUAUUUUCGGUACAAGAUGGACCCGCGUCUGAUUAGCUAGUUGGUGAGGUAACGGCUCACCAAGGCGACGAUCAGUAGCCGACCUGAGAGGGUGACCGGCCACAUUGGAACUGAGACACGGUCCAAACUUCUACGGAAGGCAGCAGUAAGGAAUCUUGCACAAUGGGGGAAACCCUGAUGCAGCAACGCCGCGUGAACGAUGAAGGCCUUAGGGUUGUAAAGUUCUGAUCUGGGGGAAGAAGAAAGUGACGGUACCCCAGGAGAAAGCCCCGGCUAAAUACGUGCCAGCCGCCGC
Molecule: ribosomal RNA, 504 nt
Filed under: uncultured bacterium
Lineage: Bacteria
Description: bacterial SSU rRNA
Rfam family: Bacterial small subunit ribosomal RNA
Source: RNAcentral